GGUUGCGAUCAUACCAGCACUAAUGCACCGGAUCCCAUCAGAACUCCGCAGUUAAGCGUGCUUGGGCGAGAGUAGUACUAGGAUGGGUGACCCCCCUGGAAGUCCUCGUGUUGCAACCCC
This 120-nucleotide ribosomal RNA is filed under the name Helianthus annuus (common sunflower). Lineage: Eukaryota; Viridiplantae; Streptophyta; Magnoliopsida; Asterales; Asteraceae. The record is from RNAcentral.